CAUGCAAGAAGAACGAACCUUCGGGUUAGUGGCGGACGGGUGAGUAACGCGUGGCACUCUGCCCUCAGGAGGGGGAUAACGGUUGGAAACGACCGCUAAUACCCCAUAUGCCGAGAGGUGAAAAGAAAUUCGCCUGAGGAUGAGCUCGCGUCUGAUUAGCUAGUUGGUGUGGUAAUGGCGCACCAAGGCUUCGAUCAGUAGCUGGUCUGAGAGGAUGAUCAGCCACACUGGGACUGAGACACGGCCCAGACUCCUACGGGAGGCAGCAGUGGG
This 273-nucleotide ribosomal RNA is filed under the name uncultured bacterium. RNAcentral's name for it is "partial 16S ribosomal RNA". It matches the Rfam family "Bacterial small subunit ribosomal RNA", at positions 54 to 358 of the family's 1533-position model. The record is from RNAcentral.